This is a long non-coding RNA of Melozone crissalis (California towhee), 218 nucleotides long. RefSeq lists it as uncharacterized. The transcript has 3 exons. The record is from RefSeq and is a predicted model, not a curated record. NCBI's taxonomy places the organism in Eukaryota, Metazoa, Chordata, Aves, Passeriformes, Passerellidae.
AAAGAGUUUGAAACAACACUCCUGAGAGCCUGGGGACAGGAGCGAUGCUGUGCCACCAUGAAAUCUGACAUUUUGCUAAGGAGCUGAAAUUUUGGAUAAUCACCUCCAAGGCAAAGAAUGAGUAACAGUGCAAACCAUGAAAUUAUUGACAUGAAACUAAAGUGAGUCCAUUCCUUUAACAAGGAUGUUGAAUAGGAAAAGAAUUUAGCCAAGUACAG